This 490-nucleotide ribosomal RNA is filed under the name uncultured bacterium. Its description in RNAcentral is "partial 16S ribosomal RNA". It matches the Rfam family "Bacterial small subunit ribosomal RNA", at positions 30 to 507 of the family's 1533-position model. The record is from RNAcentral.
AUUGAACGCUGGCGGCAUGCUUUACACAUGCAAGUCGAACGGCAGCGGGGUAGUGCUUGCACUACUGCCGGCGAGUGGCGAACGGGUGAGUAAUAUAUCGGAACGUACCGAGUAAUGGGGGAUAACCAAUCGAAAGAUUGGCUAAUACCGCAUACGUCCUGAGGGAGAAAGCGGGGGAUCGCAAGACCUCGCGUUAUUCGAGCGGCCGAUAACCGAUUAGCUAGUUGGUGGGGUAAAGGCCUACCAAGGCGACGAUCAGUAGCGGGUCUGAGAGGACGAUCCGCCACACUGGGACUGAGACACGGCCCAGACUCCUACGGGAGGCAGCAGUGGGGAAUUUUGGACAAUGGGGGCAACCCUGAUCCAGCCAUGCCGCGUGUAUGAAGAAGGCCUUCGGGUUGUAAAGUACUUUUGUUAGGGAAGAAAAGGGAAGUGCUAAUACCACUUUUUGCUGACGGUACCUAAAGAAUAAGCACCGGCUAACUACGUG